UCAAGCUACAAAGGGCGCAUGGUGAAUGCCUUGGCAUCAGGAGCCGAUGAAGGACGUGAUAAGCUGCGAUAAGCUUCGGGUAGGCGCACAUAGCCUGAGAUCCGAAGAUUUCCGAAUGAGGAAACUCACAUGGGAAACCCCAUGUAUCAUUAAGUGAAUACAUAGCUUAAUGAAGGUAACCCAGGGAACUGAAACAUCUAAGUACCUGGAGGAAGAGAAAGAAAAAUCGAUUUUCUUAGUAGCGGCGAGCGAAAGGGAAAGAGCCCAAACCGGAAACUUGUUUCCGGGGUUGUGGACAUAGCAUAAAAGUGGAGGCUAUUGUAACUGAAGAGAACUGGAAAGUUCCACCGUAGAAGGUAAUAGUCCUGUAAGUGAAACGAGAAGACCACGAGUUAUGAUCCAGAGUACCACGAGACACGUGAAACCUUGUGGGAAGCAGGGAGGACCACCUCCCAAGGCUAAAUACUACCUGAUGACCGAUAGUGAAGCAGUACCGUGAGGGAAAGGUGAAAAGAACCCCGGGAGGGGAGUGAAAUAGAACCUGAAACCGUGUGCCUACAACCGCUCAGAGCCCCUUAUGAGGGUGAUGAGGUGCUUUUUGUAGAACGAGCCAACGAGUUACGGUAUGUAGCAAGGUUAAGUACUUAAGGUACGGAGCCGAAGGGAAACCGAGUCUGAAUAGGGCAACUAGUUGCAUGCCGUAGACCCGAAACCGGGUGACCUAUCCAUGGCCAGGUUGAAGCGAGGGUAAAACCUCGUGGAGGACCGAACCACGUUGCUGUUGAAAAAGCAUGGGAUGAGCUGUGGAUAGCGGAGAAAUUCCAAUCGAACCCGGAGAUAGCUGGUUCUCUCCGAAAUAGCUUUAGGGCUAGCGUCGAGUAUGAGUAGUGGAGGUAGAGCACUGAAUGGGCUAGGGGGCAUAGCGCUUACCGAACCUUAUCAAACUCCGAAUGCCACAUACUUUGAGCUCGGCAGUCAGACUACGAAUGAUAAGAUCCGUGGUCAAAAGGGAAACAGCCCAGAUCGUCAGCUAAGGUCCCAAAGUGUAAGUUAAGUGGGAAAGGAUGUGAGAUUUCUAAGACAACUAGGAUGUUGGCUUAGAAGCAGCCAUUCAUUAAAAGAGUGCGUAAUAGCUCACUAGUCGAGAGAUCUUGCGCCGAAAAUGUAACGGGGCUAAACUUACCACCGAAGCUACGGGCUUGAACUUAGUUCAAGCGGUAGGAGAGCGUCGUAACCGGGCUGAAGUCGUACCGUAAGGAGCGGUGGACUGGUUACGAGUGAGAAUGUUGGCAUCAGUAGCGAGAUGUGGGUGAGAAUCCCACAGGCCGAAAACCUAAGGUUUCCUCAGGAAGGUUCGUCCGCUGAGGGUUAGUCGGGACCUAAGCCGAGGCCGAAAGGCGUAGGUGAUGGACAACUGGUUGAUAUUCCAGUACCACUACCAUCGUUAUUAUCGAUGGCGUGACGCAGGAGGAUAGUGUGUGCUAGCUAUUGGAUGCUAGUCUAAGCGUUUAGGCAGUGAGAGUAGGCAAAUCCGCUCUCAUAAUGCUGAGGCGUGAUGGGGAAGGUUCUACGGAACCGAAGUACAUGAUUCCACGCUGCCAAGAAAAGCGUCUAGAGAGAGAAGUAGUGCCCGUACCGCAAACCGACACAGGUAGGUGAGGAGAGAAUCCUAAGGCCGGCGGAAGAAUUACAGUUAAGGAACUCGGCAAAUUGACCCCGUAAGUUCGCGAGAAGGGGUGCCUACGAGAGUAGGCCGCAGAGAAUAGGCCCAAGCAACUGUUUAGCAAAAACACAGGUCUCUGCUAAAGCGUAAGCUGAUGUAUAGGGGCUGACGCCUGCCCGGUGCUGGAAGGUUAAGGGGAACACUUAGCGUAAGCGAAGGUGUGAACUUAAGCCCCAGUAAACGGCGGCCGUAACUAUAACGGUCCUAAGGUAGCGAAAUUCCUUGUCAGGUAAGUUCUGACCCGCACGAAUGGCGUAAUGACUUGGGCACUGUCUCAACUGUAAAUCCGGCGAAGUUGUAGUGCGAGUGAAGAUGCUCGCUACCCGCGAUUGGACGGAAAGACCCCGUAGAGCUUUACUGUAGCUUAGCAUUGAGUUUUGGUAUUGUCUGUACAGGAUAGGUGGGAGACUAGGAAACCAGGGCGUCAGCCUUGGUGGAGUCAACCUUGGGAUACCACCCUGACAGUACUGAAAUUCUAACUGGCGGCCAUGAAUCUGGUCACAGGACAUUGUUAGGUGGGCAGUUUGACUGGGGCGGUCGCCUCCUAAAAAGUAACGGAGGCGCCCAAAGGUUCCCUCAGAACGGUCGGAAAUCGUUCGAAGAGUGCAAAGGCAGAAGGGAGCCUGACUGCGACACCCACAAGUGGAGCAGGGACGAAAGUCGGGCUUAGUGAUCCGGUGGUACCUCGUGGGAGGGCCAUCGCUCAACGGAUAAAAGCUACCUCGGGGAUAACAGGCUGAUCUCCCCCAAGAGUCCACAUCGACGGGGAGGUUUGGCACCUCGAUGUCGGCUCGUCGCAUCCUGGGGCUGAAGUAGGUCCCAAGGGUUGGGCUGUUCGCCCAUUAAAGCGGCACGCGAGCUGGGUUCAGAACGUCGUGAGACAGUUCGGUCCCUAUCCGUCGCGGGCGUAGGAAAUUUGAGAGGAGCUGUCCUUAGUACGAGAGGACCGGGAUGGACUGACCUCUGGUGUACCAGUUGUUCCGCCAGGAGCACAGCUGGGUAGCUAAGUCGGGAAUGGAUAAACGCUGAAAGCAUCUAAGCGUGAAGCCAACCUCAAGAUGAGAUUUCCCAUAGCGUAAGCUAGUAAGAUCCCUUGAAGAACACAAGGUUGAUAGGUCGGGGGUGUAAGCAUGGUAACAUGUUCAGCUGACCGAUACUAAUAGAUCGAGGGCUUGACCAA
Molecule: ribosomal RNA, 2903 nt
Filed under: Clostridium perfringens
Lineage: Bacteria; Bacillati; Bacillota; Clostridia; Eubacteriales; Clostridiaceae
Description: bacterial LSU rRNA
Rfam family: Bacterial large subunit ribosomal RNA
Source: RNAcentral